CCUACGGGAGGCAGCAGUGGGGAAUUUUGGACAAUGGGCGCAAGCCUGAUCCAGCAAUGCCGCGUGCAGGAUGUAGGCCUUCGGGUUGUAAACUGCUUUUGUACGGAGCGAAAAGGUUUCCACUAAUACUGGGGGCUCAUGACGGUACCGUAAGAAUAAGCACCGGCUAACUACGUGCCAGCAGCCGCGGUAAUACGUAGGGUCCAAGCGUUAAUCGGAAUUACUGGGCGUAAAGCGUGCGCAGGCGGUUAUGUAAGACAGAUGUGAAUUCCCCGGGCUUAACCUGGGAACUGCAUUUGUGACUGCAUAGCUAGAGUACGGUAGAGGGGGAUGGAAUUCCGCGUGUAGCAGUGAAAUGCGUAGAUAUGCGGAGCAACACCGAUGGCGAAGGCAAUCCCCUGGACCUGUACUGACGCUCAUGCACGAAAGCGUGGGGAGCAAACAGGAUUAGAUACCCUGGUAGUCCACGCCCUAAACGAUGUCAAGUG
This 488-nucleotide ribosomal RNA is filed under the name uncultured bacterium. RNAcentral describes it as "bacterial SSU rRNA". It matches the Rfam family "Bacterial small subunit ribosomal RNA", at positions 338 to 818 of the family's 1533-position model. The record is from RNAcentral.